This is a long non-coding RNA of Vombatus ursinus (common wombat), 287 nucleotides long. RefSeq lists it as uncharacterized. NCBI's taxonomy places the organism in Eukaryota, Metazoa, Chordata, Mammalia, Diprotodontia, Vombatidae. The transcript is spliced from 3 exons. The record is from RefSeq and is a predicted model, not a curated record.
GCCAUUGACACACUUGGCAGAUUGGAAAUAGCUGGAGCAUCAGUUUCCUAAUUCUGAACCAUCUGGAAUUCCACCUGCUCAAAGUUAACAAUAUGGAGCUUGUUAAGCAAUUGUACCAUUUGCAACUUUCUCUUCAGUGGUGUGCCUGUGGACAAUGAGGAGUGAAGCAACUUAACUAUGGCUACCCAGCCUUAUGUUUCCAAGGAUAGAAGAAAGCGGCUAAUUGUAGACUUGUGUCUACAGUAGAAGGAGAAUGAUUGAUGUUUUCAUCACCCAACAGAGCAGGC